RNAcentral lists this ribosomal RNA (253 nucleotides) under uncultured bacterium. Its description in RNAcentral is "partial 16S ribosomal RNA". It matches the Rfam family "Bacterial small subunit ribosomal RNA", at positions 524 to 776 of the family's 1533-position model. The record is from RNAcentral.
UACGGAGGGUGCGAGCGUUAUCCGGAAUUACUGGGUUUAAAGGGUGCGUAGGCGGCUAUGUAAGUCAGGAGUGAAAGUUUGCGGCUCAACCGUAAAAUUGCUUUUGAUACUGCAUGGCUAGAAUCAGGAUGAGGUUAGCGGAAUGUGGCAUGUAGCGGUGAAAUGCAUAGAUAUGCCAUAGAACACCAAUUGCGAAGGCAGCUGGCUAGACCUGCAUUGACGCUGAGGCACGAAAGUGUGGGGAUCAAACAGG